GACGAACGCUGGCGGCGUGCCUAAUACAUGCAAGUAGAACGCUGAAGAGAGGAGCUUGCUCUUCUUGGAUGAGUUGCGAACGGGUGAGUAACGCGUAGGUAACCUGCCUGGUAGCGGGGGAUAACUAUUGGAAACGAUAGCUAAUACCGCAUAAUAUUGACUAUUGCAUGAUAGUUGAUUAAAAGGUGCAAUUGCACCACUACCAGAUGGACCUGCGUUGUAUUAGCUAGUUGGUGGGGUAACGGCUCACCAAGGCGACGAUACAUAGCCGACCUGAGAGGGUGAUCGGCCACACUGGGACUGAGACACGGCCCAGACUCCUACGGGAGGCAGCAGUAGGGAAUCUUCGGCAAUGGACGGAAGUCUGACCGAGCAACGCCGCGUGAGUGAAGAAGGUUUUCGGAUCGUAAAGCUCUGUUGUAAGAGAAGAACGAGUGUGAGAGUGAAAAGUUCACACUGUGACGGU
This 466-nucleotide ribosomal RNA is filed under the name Streptococcus sp. oral taxon 058. RNAcentral's name for it is "bacterial SSU rRNA". It matches the Rfam family "Bacterial small subunit ribosomal RNA", at positions 28 to 476 of the family's 1533-position model. Lineage: Bacteria; Bacillati; Bacillota; Bacilli; Lactobacillales; Streptococcaceae. The record is from RNAcentral.